This is a non-coding RNA of Pelobates cultripes (western spadefoot toad), 253 nucleotides long. NCBI's taxonomy places the organism in Eukaryota, Metazoa, Chordata, Amphibia, Anura, Pelobatidae. The record is from the annotation of a GenBank genome assembly.
CUCCCUGCAUGUGACUUGCACAGCCUUCCAUAAACACUUCCUGUAAAGAGAGCCCUAUUUAGGCUUUCUUUAUUGCAAGUUCUGUUUAAUUAAGAUUUUCUUAUCCCCUGCUAUGUUAAUAGCUUGCUAGACCCUGCAAGAGCCUCCUGUAUGUGAUUAAAUUUCAAUUUAGAGAUUGAGAUACAAUUAUUUAAGGUAAAUUAAAUCUGUUUGAAAGUGAAACCAGUUUUUUUUUCAUGCAGGCUCUGUCAAU